RNAcentral lists this ribosomal RNA (750 nucleotides) under uncultured bacterium. Its description in RNAcentral is "bacterial SSU rRNA". It matches the Rfam family "Bacterial small subunit ribosomal RNA", at positions 41 to 801 of the family's 1533-position model. The record is from RNAcentral.
GGGGCCAAUGUACAUGCAGUCCGACGGACUUAACUCAUUCUUUUAGAUUGAGAGCGGUUAGUGGCGGACUGGUGAGUAACACGUAAGCAACCUGCCUAUCAGAGGGGAAUAACAGUGAGAAAUCAUCGCUAAUACCGCAUAUGCUCACAGUAUCACAUGAUACAGUGAGGAAAGGAGUAAUCCGCUGAUAGAUGGGCUCGCGUCUGAUUAGUUAGUUGGUGGGGUAACGGCCUACCAAGACUACGAUCAGUAGCCGGACUGAGAGGUUGAACGGCCACAUUGGGACUGAGAUACGGCCCAGACUCCUACGGGAGGCAGCAGUCGGGAAUAUUGCGCAAUGGAGGAAACUCUGACGCAGUGACGCCGCGUAUAGGAAGAAGGUUUUCGGAUUGUAAACUAUUGUCAUUAGGGAAGAUAAAAGACUGUACCUAAGGAGGAAGCCCCGGCUAACUAUGUGCCAGCAGCCGCGGUAAUACAUAGGGGGCAAGCGUUAUCCGGAAUUAUUGGGUGUAAAGGGUGCGUAGACGGAAGAACAAGUUGGUUGUGAAAUCCCUCGGCUCAACUGAGGAACUGCAACCAAACUAUUCUCCUUGAGUGUCGGAGAGGAAAGUGGAAUUCCUAGUGUAGCGGUGAAAUGCGUAGAUAUUAGGAGGAACACCAGUGGCGAAGGCGACUUUCUGGACGAUAACUGACGUUGAGGCACGAAAGUGUGGGGAGCAAACAGGAUUAGAUACCCUGGUAGUCCACACU